AACGAACGCUGGCGGCAUGCCUAACACAUGCAAGUCGAACGAGACCUUCGGGUCUAGUGGCGCACGGGUGCGUAACGCGUGGGAACCUGCCUUUAGGUUCGGAAUAACUCAGAGAAAUCUGAGCUAAUACCGGAUGAUGUCUUCGGACCAAAGAUUUAUCGCCUUUAGAUGGGCCCGCGUUGGAUUAGCUAGUUGGUGGGGUAAAGGCCUACCAAGGCGACGAUCCAUAGCUGGUCUGAGAGGAUGAUCAGCCACACUGGGACUGAGACACGGCCCAGACUCCUACGGGAGGCAGCAGUGGGGAAUAUUGGACAAUGGGCGAAAGCCUGAUCCAGCAAUGCCGCGUGAGUGAUGAAGGCCUUAGGGUUGUAAAGCUCUUUUACCCGAGAUGAUAAUGACAGUAUCGGGAGAAUAAGCUCCGGCUAACUCCGUG
This 433-nucleotide ribosomal RNA is filed under the name uncultured bacterium. Its description in RNAcentral is "partial 16S ribosomal RNA". It matches the Rfam family "Bacterial small subunit ribosomal RNA", at positions 29 to 507 of the family's 1533-position model. The record is from RNAcentral.